RNAcentral lists this ribosomal RNA (447 nucleotides) under Serratia sp. 2AT3. Its description in RNAcentral is "bacterial SSU rRNA". It matches the Rfam family "Bacterial small subunit ribosomal RNA", at positions 67 to 503 of the family's 1533-position model. Lineage: Bacteria; Pseudomonadati; Pseudomonadota; Gammaproteobacteria; Enterobacterales; Yersiniaceae. The record is from RNAcentral.
CGGUAGCACAAGAGAGCUUGCUCUCUGGGUGACGAGCGGCGGACGGGUGAGUAAUGUCUGGGAAACUGCCUGAUGGAGGGGGAUAACUACUGGAAACGGUAGCUAAUACCGCAUAACGUCGCAAGACCAAAGAGGGGGACCUUCGGGCCUCUUGCCAUCAGAUGUGCCCAGAUGGGAUUAGCUAGUAGGUGGGGUAAUGGCUCACCUAGGCGACGAUCCCUAGCUGGUCUGAGAGGAUGACCAGCCACACUGGAACUGAGACACGGUCCAGACUCCUACGGGAGGCAGCAGUGGGGAAUAUUGCACAAUGGGCGCAAGCCUGAUGCAGCCAUGCCGCGUGUGUGAAGAAGGCCUUCGGGUUGUAAAGCACUUUCAGCGAGGAGGAAGGUGGUGAGCUUAAUACGUUCAUCAAUUGACGUUACUCGCAGAAGAAGCACCGGCUAACUC